This 256-nucleotide ribosomal RNA is filed under the name uncultured Pseudomonas sp. RNAcentral describes it as "partial 16S ribosomal RNA". It matches the Rfam family "Bacterial small subunit ribosomal RNA", at positions 96 to 355 of the family's 1533-position model. Lineage: Bacteria; Pseudomonadati; Pseudomonadota; Gammaproteobacteria; Pseudomonadales; Pseudomonadaceae. The record is from RNAcentral.
CGGCGGACGGGUGAGUAAUGCCUAGGAAUCUGCCUGGUAGUGGGGGACAACGUUUCGAAAGGAACGCUAAUACCGCAUACGUCCUACGGGAGAAAGCAGGGACCUUCGGGCCUUGCGCUAUCAGAUGAGCCUAGGUCGGAUUAGCUAGUUGGUGAGGUAAUGGCUCACCAAGGCGACGAUCCGUAACUGGUCUGAGAGGAUGAUCAGUCACACUGGAACUGAGACACGGUCCAGACUCCUACGGGAGGCAGCAGUU